This 274-nucleotide ribosomal RNA is filed under the name uncultured soil bacterium. Its description in RNAcentral is "partial 16S ribosomal RNA". It matches the Rfam family "Bacterial small subunit ribosomal RNA", at positions 26 to 329 of the family's 1533-position model. The record is from RNAcentral.
AGAACGAACGCUGGCGGCAUGCCUAAUACAUGCAAGUCGAACGAACUCUUCGGAGUUAGUGGCGCACGGGUGCGUAACGCGUGGGAAUCUGCCCCUUGGUUCGGAAUAACAGUUGGAAACGACUGCUAAUACCGGAUGAUGACGAAAGUCCAAAGAUUUAUCGCCAAGGGAUGAGCCCGCGUAGGAUUAGCUAGUUGGUGAGGUAAGGCUCACCAAGGCAACGAUCCUUAGCUGGUCUGAGAGGAUGAUCAGCCACACUGGGACUGAGACACGG